AGAGUUUGAUCCUGGCUCAGAACGAACGCUGGCGGCGUGCCUAACACAUGCAAGUCGAGCGAGAAAGCCCGCAAGGGUGAGUAAAGCGGCGCACGGGUGCGUAACACGUGGGUAAUCUGCCCUGAAGUCCGGAAUAACUCGCCGAAAGGCGUGCUAAUGCCGGAUAAGACCACGGGAGCUUCGGCUCCUGCGGGAAAAGGUGGCCUCUGUAUACAAGCUAUCACUUCAGGAUGAGCCCGCGGCCCAUCAGCUCGUUGGCGGGGUAAUGGCCCACCAAGGCUACGACGGGUAGCUGGUCUGAGAGGACGAUCAGCCACACUGGAACUGAGACACGGUCCAGACUCCUACGGGAGGCAGCAGUGGGGAAUCUUGCGCAAUGGGCGAAAGCCUGACGCAGCAACGCCGCGUGUGUGAUGAAGGUCUUCGGAUCGUAAAGCACUGUCGCGAGGGACGAAUAAGGGGCGGGUUAACAUCCCGUUCCGAUGACGGUACCUCGAGAGGAAGCACCGGCUAACUCUGUGCCAGCAGCCGCGGUAAUACAGAGGGUGCAAGCGUUGUUCGGAAUUAUUGGGCGUAAAGCGCGUGUAGGCGGCUUUGUAAGUUGGGUGUGAAAGCCCUCGGCUUAACCGAGGAAGUGCGCCCAAAACUGCAUGGCUUGAGUACCGGAGAGGGUGGCGGAAUUCCCGGUGUAGAGGUGAAAUUCGUAGAUAUCGGGAGGAACACCAGCGGCGAAGGCGGCCACCUGGACGGAUACUGACGCUGAGACGCGAAAGCGUGGGGAGCAAACAGGAUUAGAUACCCUGGUAGUCCACGCCGUAAACGAUGAGCGCUAGGUGUUGUGGGUGUUGACCCCUGCAGUACCGCAGCUAACGCAUUAAGCGCUCCGCCUGGGAAGUACGGCCGCAAGGCUAAAACUCAAAGGAAUUGAUGG
This 931-nucleotide ribosomal RNA is filed under the name uncultured bacterium. Its description in RNAcentral is "bacterial SSU rRNA". It matches the Rfam family "Bacterial small subunit ribosomal RNA", at positions 8 to 916 of the family's 1533-position model. The record is from RNAcentral.